Molecule: transfer RNA, 84 nt
Organism: Clostridium sp. CAG:230
Lineage: Bacteria; Bacillati; Bacillota; Clostridia; Eubacteriales; Clostridiaceae
Rfam family: tRNA
About the family: Transfer RNA (tRNA) molecules are approximately 80 nucleotides in length. Their secondary structure includes four short double-helical elements and three loops (D, anti-codon, and T loops).
Source: Rfam
GCGGAAGUGCUGGAAUUGGCAGACAGGCAUGAUUCAGGUUCAUGUUCGGGAUUCCGAGUGUGGGUUCAAGUCCCAUCUUCCGCA